RNAcentral lists this ribosomal RNA (306 nucleotides) under uncultured Cercozoa. Its description in RNAcentral is "bacterial SSU rRNA". The stretch from base 109 to 306 matches the Rfam family "Eukaryotic small subunit ribosomal RNA", at positions 738 to 955 of the family's 1831-position model. Lineage: Eukaryota; Cercozoa. The record is from RNAcentral.
GAUUUCUGGCGAACCGAUGCGACCCGUGCUCGUAUCGGGCGUGUGUGCCGCGUCGAGUUUGUCAUCCUUCCAGAAGGCUGCGUCUACCAUUCACUUGGCCGGACGUAUGUGAUCUGGAUCGAUUACUUUGAAAAAAUUAGAGUGUUUAAAAAGCAGGCUUACGCUGUGAAUACAUUAGCAUGGAAUAAUAAUAUAGGACUUUGGUUCUAUUUUGUUGGUUUCUAGGACUGAAGUAAUGAUAGGGGUGCUAGUAUUCCGCGGCCAGAGGUGAAAUUCUUGGAUUAGACUAAUUACUGCGAAAGCAUU